This is an RNA transcript of Andrographis paniculata, 1300 nucleotides long. RefSeq lists it as uncharacterized. NCBI's taxonomy places the organism in Eukaryota, Viridiplantae, Streptophyta, Magnoliopsida, Lamiales, Acanthaceae. The record is from RefSeq and is a predicted model, not a curated record. The transcript is spliced from 2 exons.
UCAUUUCUGUGUUUUCUCCUAAGAACACACAUACCAAAGUCCAAAAUUAUAUGUAUAGGUCCAUUUGGAGAAAGAAAGAUCAGGCGGUUGCGAUCUCUCCAUGGGAAGCAGUGAAGGAGGAGAUGAUGCGUACGCAUGCCCUAGCUUUAGCAGCUAUUCAUCGGACCGGAUAGCGGAGAUCGCCGUAAAGGUGGCGGCGGAGAGCUCGAGGAAUAACGGCGAUGAAGAUUUUGAGUUCGCUCUAGUGCGUCAGGAUAUUGCGGAGGAGAAUUUGUUAGGCGACGGCCAAAUUUUCCCCGUGUUCAAUCGCAAUCUGUUGUUAAAUCGCGAUGGAGAAUUCAGCCAAAGCUGCGAAAGCAAGGAGCUGGAAGCGAGUGUUGUUGCGGUUCCAUUGAGCAAACUAUUGCUCGAAGAGGAUCGCGAGCUUAAUAAUCCUCCGUCGUGCUCGUCGUCCGAAGCCGACGAAUUGGAGAACAUUCCUGCAGGUACGUACUGCGUUUGGCGGCCGAAACCAGCCGAUCAGCCCUCUCCGAGUCCGAGCAGAUGUGACAAGAGCAUGUCCACCGGAUCUGGUUCGAAGCGGUGGAAGUUUCGCGAUUUGCUCCGGCGGAGCAAUAGUGAGGGGAAGGGAAACUUCGUCUUCGUAACUCCGAAGAAAACUGAAGAAAUCUCAUCAUCUGAAGCUCCAAAAAAGGCGAAGGCAAAAACCGUCAGCUCCUCCGCUUCCGGCGGCUCGCCAUCAGCGCACGAAGCUCUGUACCUACGUAACAGGGCGAUGAAGGAAGGAGAUAAGAGGAAAUCGUAUCUCCCUUACAAGCAGGACAUCCUUGGGAUUUUCGUGAAUAUCAACGGUCUGGAUCGAAAGCAGGACUCAUUUGAUCGAUCACAUUGGUGAUGAUGGUUUGUAACUUUAUCGUUCCGAUCAUGAAAAACCACCAAUAAAUUCAUAUAAUAUGUCGAAUAUGUGAGCAUCAAGGGUAAACAUUUGGCAACACCUUUAUCAAACAGAGGCAAGGCAAGAGGCGUACAUUCCCUCAACUGUGCACAGCGAGUGGCCAUUGUUGGUUGAGUAUUUCUGUUAAAGAGCAUGUAGCUGAUACCGACGCUUCAUCUUUUGUGGUAUGUAAUAUUUACUGUCUAGAGGAGUGAAUUAAUUGACUUACGCAGUCUCAAAAUGGGUUGAGCCAUCUAUCUAUAUCUAUAUCUAUCUGCAAUUUCAUCUUGCAAUAUACAUUUCAAUUAUUGCAAAAGCAGGUUGGAUGUCGCCAUUUAUUGACGAUGUUCGAAAGGAUUCUUCAUU